Molecule: ribosomal RNA, 441 nt
Filed under: uncultured Campylobacter sp.
Lineage: Bacteria; Pseudomonadati; Campylobacterota; Epsilonproteobacteria; Campylobacterales; Campylobacteraceae
Description: bacterial SSU rRNA
Rfam family: Bacterial small subunit ribosomal RNA
Source: RNAcentral
CCUACGGGAGGCAGCAGUAGGGAAUAUUGCUCAAUGGGGGAAACCCUGAAGCAGCAACGCCGCGUGGAGGAUGACACUUUUCGGAGCGUAAACUCCUUUUCUUGGGAAAGAAUUAUGACGGUACCCAAGGAAUAAGCACCGGCUAACUCCGUGCCAGCAGCCGCGGUAAUACGGAGGGUGCAAGCGUUACUCGGAAUCACUGGGCGUAAAGGACGCGUAGGCGGAUUAUCAAGUCUCUUGUGAAAUCUAACGGCUUAACCGUUAAACUGCUUGGGAAACUGAUAAUCUAGAGUAAGGGAGAGGCAGAUGGAAUUCUUGGUGUAGGGGUAAAAUCCGUAGAGAUCAAGAAGAAUACCCAUUGCGAAAGCGAUCUGCUGGAACUUAACUGACGCUAAUGCGUGAAAGCGUGGGGAGCAAACAGGAUUAGAUACCCCAGUAGUC